This 497-nucleotide ribosomal RNA is filed under the name uncultured bacterium. RNAcentral's name for it is "partial 16S ribosomal RNA". It matches the Rfam family "Bacterial small subunit ribosomal RNA", at positions 28 to 507 of the family's 1533-position model. The record is from RNAcentral.
GAUGAACGCUGGCGGCGUGCCUAAUACAUGCAAGUCGAGCGAACAGACGAGGAGCUUGCUCCUCUGACGUUAGCGGCGGACGGGUGAGUAACACGUGGAUAACCUACCUAUAAGACUGGGAUAACUUCGGGAAACCGGAGCUAAUACCGGAUAAUAUAUUGAACCGCAUGGUUCAAUAGUGAAAGACGGUUUUGCUGUCACUUAUAGAUGGAUCCGCGCCGCAUUAGCUAGUUGGUAAGGUAACGGCUUACCAAGGCAACGAUGCGUAGCCGACCUGAGAGGGUGAUCGUCCACACUGGAACUGAGCCACGGUCCAGACUCCUACGGGAGGCAGCAGUAGGGAAUCUUCCGCAAUGGGCGAAAGCCUGACGGAGCAACGCCGCGUGAGUGAUGAAGGUCUUCGGAUCGUAAAACUCUGUUAUUAGGGAAGAACAAAUGUGUAAGUAACUAUGCACGUCUUGACGGUACCUAAUCAGAAAGCCACGGCUAACUACGUG